CCUACGGGUGGCUGCAGUAGGGAAUCUUCCUCAAUGGGGGAAACUCUGAAGCAGCAACGCCGCGUGGAGGAUGAAGGUUUUAGGAUCGUAAACUUCUUUUGUUAGAGAAGAUUAAGACGGUAUCUAACUAAUAAGCACCGGCUAACUCCUUGCCAGCAGCCGCGGUAAAACGGAGGGGGCGAACGUUAGGCGGAAUUACUGGGGGUAAAGCGCUCGUAGGCGGUAUGUCAAGUCAAGGGUGAAAGCCCUGCGCUCAACGUGGGAACUGCAUUUGAAACUGGCAAACUGGCGUGUGUGAGAGGAGAGUGGAAUUCCAGGUGUAGGAGUGAAAUCCGUAGAUAUCUGGAGGAACAUCAGUGGCGAAGGCGACUAUCUGGCACAUAACUGACGCUGAGGAGCGAAAGCGUGGGUAGCAAACAGGAUUAGAUACCCCAGUAGUC
Molecule: ribosomal RNA, 440 nt
Filed under: uncultured bacterium
Lineage: Bacteria
Description: partial 16S ribosomal RNA
Rfam family: Bacterial small subunit ribosomal RNA
Source: RNAcentral